UUGCUGCUUUGCUGACGAGUGGCGGACGGGUGAGUAAUGUCUGGGAAACUGCCUGAUGGAGGGGGAUAACUACUGGAAACGGUGGCUAAUACCGCAUAACGUCGCAAGACCAAAGAGGGGGACCUUCGGGCCUCUUGCCAUCAGAUGUGCCCAGAUGGGAUUAGCUUGUUGGUGAGGUAACGGCUCACCAAGGCGACGAUCCCUAGCUGGUCUGAGAGGAUGACCAGCCACACUGGAACUGAGACACGGUCCAGACUCCUACGGGAGGCAGCAGUGGGGAAUAUUGCACAAUGGGCGCAAGCCUGAUGCAGCCAUGCCGCGUGUAUGAAGAAGGCCUUCGGGUUGUAAAGUACUUUCAGCGGGGAGGAAGGUGUUGUGGUUAAUAACCGCAGCAAUUGACGUUACCCGCAGAAGAAGCACCGGCUAACUCCGUGCCAGCAGCCGCGGUAAUACGGAGGGUGCAAGCGUUAAUCGGAAUUACUGGGCGUAAAGCGCACGCAGGCGGUCUGUCAAGUCGGAUGUGAAAUCCCCGGGCUCAACCUGGGAACUGCAUUCGAAACUGGCAGGCUUGAGUCUUGUAGAGGGGGGUAGAAUUCCAGGUGUAGCGGUGAAAUGCGUAGAGAUCUGGAGGAAUACCGGUGGCGAAGGCGGCCCCCUGGACAAAGACUGACGCUCAGGUGCGAAAGCGUGGGGAGCAAACAGGAUUAGAUACCCUGCUAGUCCACGCCGUACACGAUGUCUACUUGGAGGUUGUGCCCUUGAGGCGUGUCUUCCGGAGCUAACGCGUUAAGUAGACCGUCUGGAGAGUACGGCCGCGAGGAUAACUCUCAUAUGUAUUGACGGGGGGCCCGCACAAGCGGUGGAGCAUGUGUUUUAAUUCGAUGCCACGCGAAGAAUCUUACCUGCUCUUGACAUCCACAGAACUUUUACAGAGAUG
Molecule: ribosomal RNA, 937 nt
Filed under: Salmonella enterica subsp. enterica serovar Typhimurium
Lineage: Bacteria; Pseudomonadati; Pseudomonadota; Gammaproteobacteria; Enterobacterales; Enterobacteriaceae
Description: bacterial SSU rRNA
Rfam family: Bacterial small subunit ribosomal RNA
Source: RNAcentral